UAGCUAAUACCGCAUAACGUCGCAAGACCAAAGAGGGGGACCUUCGGGCCUCUUGCCAUCGGAUGUGCCCAGAUGGGAUUAGCUAGUUGGUGGGGUAACGGCUCACCAAGGCGACGAUCCCUAGCUGGUCUGAGAGGAUGACCASCCACACUGGAACUGAUACACGGUCCAGACUCCUACGGGAGGCAGCAGUGGGGAAUAUUGCACAAUGGGCGCAAGCCUGAUGCASCCAUGCCGCGUGUAUGAAGAAGGCCUUCGGGUUGUAAAGUACUUUCAGCGGGGAGGAAGGGAGUAAAGUUAAUACCUUUACUCAUUGACGUUACCCGCAGAAGAAGCACCGGCUAACUCCGUGCCAGCAGCCGCGGUAAUACGGAGGGUGCAAGCGUUAAUCGGAAUUACUGGGCGCGUAAAGCGCACGCAGGCGGUUUUGUUAAGUCAGAAUGUGAAAUGCCCUGGCUCGACCUGGGAACUGCAUCUGAUACUGGCAAGCUUGAGUCUCGUAGAGGGGGGUAGAAUUCCAGGUGUAGCGGUGAAAUGCGUAGAGAUCUGGAGGAAUACCGGUGGCGAACGCGGCCCCCUGGACGAAGACUGACGCUCAGAUGCGAAGCGUGGGGAGCAACAGGAUUAGAURCCCUGGUAGUCCACCCCGUAAACGAUGUCGACUUGGAGGUUSUUGCCCUUGAGGCGUGGCUUCCUGAGCUAACGCGUUAAGUCGA
This 716-nucleotide ribosomal RNA is filed under the name Escherichia coli. RNAcentral describes it as "bacterial SSU rRNA". Lineage: Bacteria; Pseudomonadati; Pseudomonadota; Gammaproteobacteria; Enterobacterales; Enterobacteriaceae. The record is from RNAcentral.